UGCACCUCUUGUAGUGGUGGUGGUGGUGGGGGGCUUGUGCGUAGAAUGUGCUCGUGUGCGUGCGUAUGACGGACGUGCUCGUGGGAUCCCCUUCGGAUCGCUGCCAUGCGCACUAGAGAAGACCAACAGCUGAUCUACAUCGACGUACUGCCCACUAAUUCUCCAUCUCCGCAGCUGCACGUUGAAGCCUGUGUACGAGAGCACGUCGUUUGCAGAGUCCGAAGGAGGGUUGUUGUUGUUGUGUUUUCCGGCAGCCACAGGAAUCACAUGAGAGCAUCGAUUCUCACCUUCAGUGGCCGGGCGUGACUUGGCCGCGCUAGAGUCGUGUUUCCACAACACCUCUACUCACGCCAUCGCCCCUUGCUGCACUUUGCGACCCCGUCGCGCGUCUCCUCUGCGUCUCACAAACCACACGAAGGCCAACGUUUAUACGGAUGCUCGUCGCUCUUCUCCUCCGGUUCGGCGGAGCCACGCUAGUGCAGGUGCUCACGCACGCAUCGUCACCUCCUCCGCCCUCUCGUGUUCUGGGCUAUUCCACCACGCACCGCACCACGCACUCUGUACACCAAGGCGUCGGACACAUGCCCUCCGCAGGGACGCAAAAGACGAGCACGCCAAGCUCUCCAUGGUGUGCGCCGAAGCCGCCCCUCUCAGCCACGGCGGACUGCGACCGUCCCUGUAUUUAGGGUUCACCUCCCCGAAACACCCAAAGUGUCCUCGUCUUGCUUGUCUCUUGCUUCCCUUUCUCUUCGCCCGCGUGUGACCGCCUUGGCUUCCUCUCGCUCUCCAUGUUCUUCUCCCGUUUCUGCCCCCCUCCCCCUCACACCCUCCUCCGCAG
RNAcentral lists this unclassified non-coding RNA (838 nucleotides) under Leishmania donovani. RNAcentral's name for it is "gene:unknown". The record is from RNAcentral. Lineage: Eukaryota; Euglenozoa; Kinetoplastea; Trypanosomatida; Trypanosomatidae.